GGCGAACGCUGGCGGCGUGCUUAACACAUGCAAGUCGAACGGAAAGGCCCUGCUUUUGUGGGGUGCUCGAGUGGCGAACGGGUGAGUAACACGUGAGUAACCUGCCCUUGACUUUGGGAUAACUUCAGGAAACUGGGGCUAAUACCGGAUAGGAGCUCCUGCUGCAUGGUGGGGGUUGGAAAGUUUCGGCGGUUGGGGAUGGACUCGCGGCUUAUCAGCUUGUUGGUGGGGUAGUGGCUUACCAAGGCUUUGACGGGUAGCCGGCCUGAGAGGGUGACCGGCCAAAUUGGGACUGAGAUACGGCCCAGACUCCUACGGGAGGCAGCAGUGGGGAAUAUUGAACAAUGGGCGGAAGCCUGAUGCAGCAACGCCGCGUGCGGGAUGACGGCCUUCGGGUUGUAAACCGCUUUCGCCUGUGACGAAGCGUGAGUGACGGUAAUGGGUAAAGAAGCACCGGCUAACUACGUG
This 468-nucleotide ribosomal RNA is filed under the name uncultured bacterium. Its description in RNAcentral is "partial 16S ribosomal RNA". It matches the Rfam family "Bacterial small subunit ribosomal RNA", at positions 28 to 507 of the family's 1533-position model. The record is from RNAcentral.